Molecule: ribosomal RNA, 376 nt
Filed under: uncultured Serratia sp.
Lineage: Bacteria; Pseudomonadati; Pseudomonadota; Gammaproteobacteria; Enterobacterales; Yersiniaceae
Description: bacterial SSU rRNA
Rfam family: Bacterial small subunit ribosomal RNA
Source: RNAcentral
UAAUACGGAGGGUGCAAGCGUUAAUCGGAAUUACUGGGCGUAAAGCGCACGCAGGCGAUUUGUUAAGUCAGAUGUGAAAUCCCCGGGCUCAACCUGGGAACUGCAUUUGAAACUGGCAAGCUAGAGUCUCGUAGAGGGGGGUAGAAUUCCAGGUGUAGCGGUGAAAUGCGUAGAGAUCUGGAGGAAUACCGGUGGCGAAGGCGGCCCCCUGGACGAAGACUGACGCUCAGGUGCGAAAGCGUGGGGAGCAAACAGGAUUAGAUACCCUGGUAGUCCACGCUGUAAACGAUGUCGAUUUGGAGGUUGUGCCCUUGAGGCGUGGCUUCCGGAGCUAACGCGUUAAAUCGACCGCCUGGGGAGUACGGCCGCAAGGUUA